Molecule: long non-coding RNA, 3204 nt
Organism: Brassica napus (rape)
Lineage: Eukaryota; Viridiplantae; Streptophyta; Magnoliopsida; Brassicales; Brassicaceae
Exons: 2
Source: RefSeq, a predicted model, not a curated record
UGUCAAUAAUGCCUUCAGAAGUCUUCAUUUGCAAUCCUAUUAUGAGCAAUAGCAAAGAGAUCAUCUAGAGAAUUUAAAAAUAUUAUUUAAUAAAAUAUGUGAAUGCAUGUAUUACCUCAGUCUUAAAGCAUCAAUUUCUGGAACACCAAUGGGGUCAAAGACAAUUUUGGAAAUCCCAUCAAUGUUAGUAACCCUCUUAAGUCGGCCUUAUUAUGAAAUAUGAAAAAUAUUAGCAAAAUAUACAUAUAAUAUCAGCUCCUAUUAAUCUAUUGUAUAUACAAUAAAUACAAUAGAUUAUCUUGUCUCCAAUUAAUUUGCCAACACUGUAAAACACAUAAUACUAUGUCUGCAUCUAUAGAAUUCCAUAAAUCAUUGAAAACAUGAGCAAGUGCACCAUAAGCGACACACUUAAUGACGACGUUACUGUAAAACAAAAAAAGAAGGGUUCAAACCAUGUGAUACUAUACAAAUGUAUAUCUUUCUUUUUACAGAUAUUGAAUACUUACAGGAUGUGUAGUACAAAAAAAUGGAUUUUGUGGUCGAUGAUACCAUUAUUUCCGUUCGUAGGUUCCAUCAUAUAUUCUUCAAGAAAUCCUACUCCUAUCACUUGACCAUAAAUAUCUAAUGGAUAGGCAAAAAGAUUUACACAUAUUUAGAUACUGCCUAUUAUCAAUAUGAACACAUUCAUCGAUUAUUUCGCUGCUCUAAAUUUUCAUUUAAUUAUAUAGAAGAGAAAACAUACCAAUAGGAAACUUAGGAUGAUGUAAGCCGCGGUAGAGAUCAUCCCAGUUUCGAAAACAAUAAAAGCUGGAAUGUUUUAUAGGAUCGAUCUUCAAAAUGACAGAGGAGUUAGUGAGGUUAAUAUUGUAUCGGUUCCUUGUCAAUCGAACACGCUCUGCUAUGACAUGGGAUAGCUCGAAAUCUUUAAUUUCAUAGGAGUGAUGAUGUGUUGUGAUUUUGCAUAGUUUUAGCUUUGUAAUUUCAUAUAUAUUCAUGCAUUAACCUUACAUUUAUUUGCAUUUAGAAUCUAUUGCAUGUACAUUUGCAUCUUGUAGGUGUUGGAUGAAUUGUUUGGAGUUUUGGAGGUGAUUAGAGCACAAAAGGAGCUUUCGAGGAGUCUUGAACCGAACGUGUGAAAGACAAGCAUGUAUGAAGGUCUUAAAGAUAUCUUUUGAAACUUGUCUUUUGGCAAGACAUGGUAAAUUGAGUUAGCUUUACAAUGGAGGUGGUUUCAAGUCGUUUGGAGCUGUAUUGAGGGAUUUAUGAUCAAAAUACUACACACAUAUCAGUGUGUGCAACAUGGAGAAAGUGGAGAAAACUUUAAUGAGUGAGUUUUAUCUCUUUAAAGCUUGCAACAUGGGGGAUGGGUUGUCUAUCAUGAGUUUGGUGGCUCUUUUGGCCUAACUUUCUCUACCUUUUCUGAAGAGGCAAGACUACUUUGGCCAUAUGAAGGGGCAAAAGGUGUUCUAUAAUGGAAGAAAGUGGAGAAUAACUUUUAUGAGUGUGUUUUAUGCUUUAUGCUUUCACAUGAUGGAUGUGUUGUCAUCCUCCUUUACUUAGGCUAUAAAAGAGACUGCAAGGGGAAGGAGGAAGACACAAUACACAGAGUACAAUACAACAAAGAGUAGAGAGUGAAAGUUUUAUAGUUUCAUAUUUUGUAUUUUGAGAGUUUGAGAGAAAACAUUUGUUCUUGGAGUGUUCUUGAAAUUUAUGUUAUAAAGUCUUGUUUUCCUUUAGCCAUUCUCUUCAUCUAAUUUCUGUUUCUUGUUUUCAUAUAUCAUAUCAUCUUGGUUAUGCUUCUAUCCAUCAUGGGAUUAAGUGUAAACAAGAUGAUUAGUGAGUAAUCACCCUUAGGAUCAAUGGGUUAGGUAGAUUAAUGGGUGAUUAGGGAAGAGUUAAGAUGUUCUAAUGGUUAAAUGCUUAGAUUUCUAUGCUUACUAAGUAUUCUUAAUGCUAGAUUAAUUUUGGCCAUUUUAAUCUAGAUUCUAAGUGUUUGUAGGGCAUCGAAAGUGUUUGCAUAAUGCUUGAAUGAACCUAGUAAAGCUCUAGCUUGAAUAACCAAGGAAUUGUUGUUAGGAUUGCUAGAUGGUUAGUAGACUAGAACUUAAUGUAUGUUUGAGUGAACAAAACGAACGGAAGUUGAUGUUUAGUUCAUAAUUGCAUAAGGGUUUCUACCACGGGAGUGGAUUAAUCUAAAUUGAAUGAAAUCUAGACCUAUAGAAAGUUAAGAUUAUUUGAAGUUAGACGCCUUGAUUUAGAACUAUCACCUUGAAAUCAAUUGCCUAAAUACCCAUUGGUUCUUCUUUGUUAUAUUUGAAUUAAAACUCAAGUUAUUUCGCACUAUUACUUGUUACAAACAAACAUCAUUUGAUUGCACUUAGAUUGAGAUAAAUGGCUUGCAUUCUUAGUGCUUAGAAUCACUAGAGAUUGGAUUGACAUCUUAAGUACUACAACACUUAAGGAUUAAACUUAUCCUUUAUCAAGUGACCUUCCUCCAAUGGCAUAUCAGCUGAAGCCUCCAAAUCUCUAACCAAAGUGGCUUGAAUUGUAUUUCCCUAUGUGAAACACGUUGAAAUGUAUUAGUAUCUUUCUAAACGAAACGUAAAAUAUAACUGUAAUGAGAUGAAAAUGACCACAGCUUACCUUCUCGUCUCCAAUAAUCAGAACGGUUUUUUGGAACCCUGAUCCGGCAACAGUCGGCCCCUUGCAGAUGACCUUAACACGAACUGGAAGCAAAGGUUUGUCAAGACUCAGCUCUGAAACUAAUCUAUGAGUACCCAUGGCAAUAGAAAUUUAAGAAAAUGAGAUAACGUUUAACACAAACGAUGUCAUGAAUAAGAAAGUGUAGUAUAUAUAUUGUUAAGAAUUACUAUACAAUAAGGAAAUACAAUGAAUAGGUGUAGGUAUUAAUUGAGACGUGCAUCACGCGGGAUUGAUACAUUUUAUUUCCAUAAAUUGUAUAUCGUGAUUGUUAAAAUCACCACGUAAAUGAUCGGUAAUAUAUGGUAAAUAAAUAUUGUAAAUAUAGAAAGCGUAUUUAUACACAUUUGAAAGAUAUUUUCCUUAACAGAUAAGGGCAAUAAAUCGAUAUAUUCAAUACUUCUAACCAAAAGUGGUAAUAGGAAAUAGCAGUAACUGUGAAUCCUAGUGACAUUAAUACUAUUCAUUAAAAUAUAUUAUACGAAUCAAUGAUAUGAUAUGAAA